UACGUAGGGGGCAAGCGUUGUCCGGAAUCAUUGGGCGUAAAGAGCGUGUAGGCGGCCCGAUAAGUCCGCCGUGAAAGUCCAGGGCUCAACCCUGGAAUGCCGGUGGAAACUGUCGGGCUGGAGUCCGGAAGAGGCGAGUGGAAUUCCUGGUGUAGCGGUGAAAUGCGCAGAUAUCAGGAAGAACGCCAACGGCGAAGGCAGCUCGCUGGGACGGUACUGACGCUGAGACGCGAAAGCGUGGGGAGCGAACAGG
Molecule: ribosomal RNA, 253 nt
Filed under: uncultured bacterium
Lineage: Bacteria
Description: partial 16S ribosomal RNA
Rfam family: Bacterial small subunit ribosomal RNA
Source: RNAcentral